This 460-nucleotide ribosomal RNA is filed under the name uncultured bacterium. RNAcentral's name for it is "partial 16S ribosomal RNA". It matches the Rfam family "Bacterial small subunit ribosomal RNA", at positions 338 to 795 of the family's 1533-position model. The record is from RNAcentral.
CCUACGGGAGGCAGCAGUGAGGAAUAUUGGUCAAUGGACGAGAGUCUGAACCAGCCAAGUAGCGUGAAGGAUGACUGCCCUAUGGGUUGUAAACUUCUUUUAUAAAGGAAUAAAACGAGGCACGUGUGCCUUUUUGCAUGUACUUUAUGAAUAAGGAUCGGCUAACUCCGUGCCAGCAGCCGCGGUAAUACGGAGGAUCCGAGCGUUAUCCGGAUUUAUUGGGUUUAAAGGGAGCGUAGAUGGGUUGUUAAGUUAGUUGUGAAAGUUUGCGGCUCAACCGUAAAAUUGCAAUUGAUACUGGCAGUCUAGAGUACAGUUGAGGUAGGCGGAAUUCGUGGUGUAGCGGUGAAAUGCUUAGAUAUCACGAAGAACCCUGAUUGCGAAGGCAGCUUACUAAACUGUGACUGACAUUGAUGCUCGAAAGUGUGGGUAUCAAACAGGAUUAGAUACCCCGGUAGUC